This is a non-coding RNA of Notechis scutatus (mainland tiger snake), 746 nucleotides long. The record is from RefSeq and is a predicted model, not a curated record. NCBI's taxonomy places the organism in Eukaryota, Metazoa, Chordata, Lepidosauria, Squamata, Elapidae.
CAAAGUCUACAAAGCCAGAAAACACAAUUCAAGGUCCACAAAGGCCAGGAAGCAAACAGUUGUUCCUGACAAACAGCUUUCCCCCUUCCUCUGCCUAAUCUCAUGAGAAGAGACAAAGAAAUGAAGAGAUCAAUGAAAAGAAAUAAACCUUCUAUGAAAUUAUUUGAAAGGACUAAAGAAAAACAGUACAGAUCCUAGAAGAACCCUCUCUGGCACACAUACUGUGACUUUUGAAGUGGAUGGCUGGUGUUUGAACUAAAAAUAUAUAUAUUUUGGAGAUGAGUGAUCUUGCACAAGAUGUUAUUUAUAAUCUUAGCCAACCAACUUAAAAUUUGAGCAAGUAAUUUUUACAAAUACACAAAAACCACUUAUGGUAAAAAAUAAAUGUUUUUAAUUCUGUAAACAAAUAAUACCAUUUGAAAGUGACUAAACGUUUACUCAAAAUACAUAUAGCUGUCAAAAUAAACAAAGUAACAAAAGUGCCAAACAAUAAAAGGCACAACAUUCAAUAACACAAUAGUUUCUAGGCACAAAUUGUUGUUACAUUUAGCUAAUAUAGCUUACUGAGGGAUUUGUCUUGUAAAAAUAAUUGGAAGAGUCCAAAUGAAAUGCUUGUUAAAGGGGUUCUGAAUGAAAAAAAUUAAAUAUAUUUUCAUUUAAAUCAUAGCAACCAUUUGAAAAAUAGCCCUUUUGCUUUUACCUGGAAUCCUCUUCUUCCAAAUACCCAGUAUGUAAAUGGAUUACAG